CCGAAAUCUCGCGAUAGGACAGCAUCGUCUGAACGCUGCUCUAAGAUGGCGAAGACAUGUAGGAGUCAGGAGGGUUUCAGGCUUCUGAAGAGGAAACACCCAUGCUUUUCUAAAGCUGUCGUGACUAAAUUGGCUGGGCUUUGCUGAGGUAGUAGUUUGUAUAGUUUGGGAUCACACCAGAUCUAGGAGAUAACUAUACAGUCUACUGUCUUUCUCACGGCUACCACGUUGCAUCAUGUCGUCCAUCGUGGGAGUGGAGAAAACGAAAACCGCGGACUCCAAUGGAAUUAACAGCGUGGGACAUAUCAGGGUGUGGCUCGGUUGUGCUGAGGUAGUAAGUUGUGUUGUUGUAGGGACUUGGUAUAAUUUGCCCUUUUUAUGGAGAUAACUAUACAUCUUACUGCCUUCCAUGCCAGAGUCCUGACCUACAGCAAUUAGUGCAAACAAUUCCAUCAUUAAUAGUGUUUUUAUUAUGCAUUUUUGAAAUGUUAUUUGUUUGUACUGUGAUUUCAAUAAACUGUUGACUUUAUGUAAAGAA
This is a long non-coding RNA of Silurus meridionalis, 538 nucleotides long. RefSeq lists it as uncharacterized. The record is from RefSeq and is a predicted model, not a curated record. Lineage: Eukaryota; Metazoa; Chordata; Actinopteri; Siluriformes; Siluridae. The transcript is spliced from 3 exons.